This 492-nucleotide ribosomal RNA is filed under the name uncultured bacterium. RNAcentral's name for it is "partial 16S ribosomal RNA". It matches the Rfam family "Bacterial small subunit ribosomal RNA", at positions 29 to 507 of the family's 1533-position model. The record is from RNAcentral.
AGUGAACGCUGGCGGUAGGCCUAACACAUGCAAGUCGAACGGCAGCACAGUAAGAGCUUGCUCUUACGGGUGGCGAGUGGCGGACGGGUGAGGAAUACAUCGGAAUCUACUUUUUCGUGGGGGAUAACGUAGGGAAACUUACGCUAAUACCGCAUACGACCUACGGGUGAAAGCAGGGGAUCUUCGGACCUUGCGCGAUUGAAUGAGCCGAUGUCGGAUUGGCUAGUUGGCGGGGUAAAGGCCCACCAAGGCGACGAUCCGUAGCUGGUCUGAGAGGAUGAUCAGCCACACUGGAACUGAGACACGGUCCAGACUCCUACGGGAGGCAGCAGUGGGGAAUAUUGGACAAAGGGCGCAAGCCUGAUCCAGCCAUACCGCGUGAGUGAAGAAGGCCUUCGGGUUGUAAAGCCCUUUUGUUGGGAAAGAAAAGCAGCAGGUUAAUACCCCGCUGUUCUGACGGUACCCAAAGAAUAAGCACCGGCUAACUUCGUG